GACGAACGCUGGCGGCGUGCUUAACACAUGCAAGUCGAACGGAAAGGCCCUGCUUUUGUGGGGUGCUCGAGUGGCGAACGGGUGAGUAACACGUGAGUAACCUGCCCUUGACUUUGGGAUAACUUCAGGAAACUGGGGCUAAUACCGGAUAGGAGCUCCUGCUGCAUGGUGGGGGUUGGAAAGUUUCGGCGGUUGGGGAUGGACUCGCGGCUUAUCAGCUUGUUGGUGGGGUAGUGGCUUACCAAGGCUUUGACGGGUAGCCGGCCUGAGAGGGUGACCGGCCACAUUGGGACUGAGAUACGGCCCAGCCUCCUACGGGAGGCAGCAGUGGGGAAUAUUGCACAAUGGGCGGACGCCUGAUGCAGCAACGCCGCGUGCGGGAUGACGGCCUUCGGGUUGUAAACCGCUUUCGCCUGUGACGAAGCGUGAGUGACGGUAAUGGGUAAAGAAGCACCGGCUAACUACGUG
This 468-nucleotide ribosomal RNA is filed under the name uncultured bacterium. Its description in RNAcentral is "partial 16S ribosomal RNA". It matches the Rfam family "Bacterial small subunit ribosomal RNA", at positions 28 to 507 of the family's 1533-position model. The record is from RNAcentral.